RNAcentral lists this unclassified non-coding RNA (345 nucleotides) under soil metagenome. RNAcentral describes it as "partial contains 5.8S ribosomal RNA, internal transcribed spacer 2, and large subunit ribosomal RNA". The stretch from base 1 to 120 matches the Rfam family "5.8S ribosomal RNA", at positions 35 to 154 of the family's 154-position model. The record is from RNAcentral.
GAUGAAGAACGUAGCGAAAUGCGAUAAGUAAUGUGAAUUGCAGAAUUCAGUGAAUCAUCGAAUCUUUGAACGCACCUUGCGCCCUCUGGUAUUCCGGAGGGCAUGCCUGUCCGAGCGUCAUUGCUGCCCUCAAGCACGGCUUGUGUGUUGGGCCCCGCCCCCCGAUCCCGGGGGGCGGGCCCGAAAGGCAGCGGCGGCACCGCGUCCGGUCCUCGAGCGUAUGGGGCUUUGUCACCCGCUCUGUAGGCCCGGCCGGCGCCUGCCGAUCAACCAAACUUUUUUCCAGGUUGACCUCGGAUCAGGUAGGGAUACCCGCUGAACUUAAGCAUAUCAAUAAGCGGAGGA